GCUGUCCUUGCCAUUUCGUUUAAAUGUACAUAGGGAUUUGUGCCAGAGCGCAGGUAACGUUCUCUUUGCUUUUACGAAGUGUUUUGAGCAAGCCUGAACGGAGAAGCCUGUACUGUGGAAUUAUUCCCUCCUUCACAAAUGCCACCCGUCCUAUCCCUCUACAAAUCCCUACAUUAUGUUUUAUGCACCUAGAUGUCUUCCCCACCCUCUCUGUGCAGCCACAUCUCUCGAUUCUAUUACUUUAUGGUUCCUUGGAAAAGAUGCUACUGACGACGCUCUGGCUUGGGGGAGUCUCUAGAUUAGGGUGGCAGGCAG
Pelobates cultripes (western spadefoot toad) is the source of this 315-nucleotide non-coding RNA. Lineage: Eukaryota; Metazoa; Chordata; Amphibia; Anura; Pelobatidae. The record is from the annotation of a GenBank genome assembly.